CCAGUAAACGGCGGUGGUAACUAUAACCAUCCUAAGGUAGCGAAAUUCCUUGUCGGGUAAGUUCCGACCUGCACGAAUGGCGUAACGACUUGGGCGCUGUCUCGACCACAGACUCGGCGAAAUUGCAUUACGAGUAAAGAUGCUCGUUACGCGCGGCAGGACGGAAAGACCCCGGGACCUUUACUACAGCUUGGUAUUGGUGCUCGGUUCGGCUUGUGUAGGAUAGGUGGGAGACUGUGAAGCGUUCACGCUAGUGGGUGUGGAGUCGUUGUUGAAAUACCACUCUGGUCGGAUUGGGUGUCUGAACCUCGGGCCAUGAUCUGGUUCAGGGACAGUGCCUGGUGGGUAGUUUAACUGGGGCGGUUGCCUCCUAAAGGGUAACGGAGGCGCCCAAAGGUUCCCUCAGCCUGGUUGGCAAUCAGGUGGUGAGUGUAAGUGCACAAGGGGGCUUGACUGUGAGACGGACGUGUCGAGCAGGGACGAAAGUCGGGACUAGUGAUCCGGCAUCUCCUGGUGGAAGGGGUGUCGCUCAACGGAUAAAAGGUACCCCGGGGAUAACAGGCUGAUCUUGCCCAAGAGUCCAUAUCGACGGCAUGGUUUGGCACCUCGAUGUCGGCUCGUCGCAUCCUGGGGCUGGAGUAGGUCCCAAGGGUUGGGCUGUUCGCCCAUUAAAGCGGUACGCGAGCUGGGUUUAGAACGUCGUGAGACAGUUCGGUCCCUAUCCGCCGCGCGCGUAGGAGACUUGAGGAAGGCUGUCCCUAGUACGAGAGGACCGGGACGGACGGACCUCUGGUGUGCCAGUUGUCCCGCCAGGGGCAUGGCUGGUUGGCUAUGUUCGGAAGGGAUAACCGCUGAAGGCAUCUAAGCGGGAAGCUCGUUCCAAGAUGAGGUCUCCCACCACCCUUUGGCCCGUGAGGGUUGGGGCGUGGUUAAGGCCCCCUAGAGAUGAUGGGGUUGAUAGGCCGGGGAUGGAAGCUCUGUGAGGGGUGGAGUCGACCGGUACUAAUAGGCCGAGGGCUUGCCCAC
This 1026-nucleotide ribosomal RNA is filed under the name Pseudonocardia sp. Its description in RNAcentral is "partial 23S ribosomal RNA". It matches the Rfam family "Bacterial large subunit ribosomal RNA", at positions 1920 to 2925 of the family's 2925-position model. The record is from RNAcentral. Lineage: Bacteria; Bacillati; Actinomycetota; Actinomycetes; Pseudonocardiales; Pseudonocardiaceae.